RNAcentral lists this ribosomal RNA (453 nucleotides) under uncultured bacterium. RNAcentral describes it as "bacterial SSU rRNA". It matches the Rfam family "Bacterial small subunit ribosomal RNA", at positions 8 to 507 of the family's 1533-position model. The record is from RNAcentral.
AGAGUUUGAUCAUGGCUCAGAACGAACGCUGGCGGCAUGCCUAACACAUGCAAGUCGAACGAAGCCUUCGGGCUUAGUGGCGCACGGGUGCGUAACACGUGGGAAUCUGCCCUUUGGUUCGGAAUAACAGUUAGAAAUGACUGCUAAUACCGGAUAAUGACGCAAGUCCAAAGAUUUAUCGCCGAAGGAUGAGCCCGCGUAGGAUUAGGUAGUUGGUGGGGUAAUGGCCCACCAAGCCGACGAUCCUUAGCUGGUCUGAGAGGAUGAUCAGCCACACUGGGACUGAGACACGGCCCAGACUCCUACGGGAGGCAGCAGUGGGGAAUAUUGGACAAUGGGCGAAAGCCUGAUCCAGCAAUGCCGCGUGAGUGAUGAAGGCCUUAGGGUUGUAAAGCUCUUUUACCAGGGAUGAUAAUGACAGUACCUGGAGAAUAAGCUCCGGCUAACUCCGUG